This 806-nucleotide small RNA is filed under the name Pongo abelii (Sumatran orangutan). RNAcentral's name for it is "processed transcript". Lineage: Eukaryota; Metazoa; Chordata; Mammalia; Primates; Hominidae. The record is from RNAcentral.
UGGUUCUUUCCUUUGACUCCGCUGGACAAACACUAGGCUCAGAGUAUGAUCGGUUGGGCUUCCUCCUGAAUCUGGACUCUAAACUGCCUGCUGAAUUAGCCACCAAGUACGCAAACUUUUCAGAGGGAGCUUGCAAGCCUGGCUAUGCUUCAGCCUUGAUGACGGCCAUCUUUCCCCGGUUCUCCAAGCCAGCACCCAUGUUCCUGGACGACUCCUUUCGCAAGUGGGCUAGAAUCCGGGAGUUUGUGCCACCUUUUGGGAUCAAAGGUCAAGACAAUCUGAUCAAAGCCAUCUUGUCAGUCACCAAAGAGUACCGCCUGACCCCUGCCUUGGACAGCCUCCGCUGCCGCCGCUGCAUCAUCGUGGGCAAUGGAGGCGUUCUUGCCAACAAGUCUCUGGGGUCACGAAUUGACGACUAUGACAUUGUGGUGAGACUGAAUUCAGCACCAGUGAAAGGCUUUGAGAAGGACGUGGGCAGCAAAACAACACUGCGCAUCACCUACCCCGAGGGCGCCAUGCAGCGGCCUGAGCAGUACGAGCGAGAUUCUCUCUUUGUCCUCGCCGGCUUCAAGUGGCAGGACUUUAAGUGGUUGAAAUACAUCGUCUACAAGGAGAGAGUGCUCUUUCCCAAGCAAGGCCAAGUACAGGCAGUGUCAAGUAGGUAGCAAGCAAGAGAGAAGACAGAAGUCAGGUCCAGAAAUUCAGAGUGCAUCGGAUGGCUUCUGGAAAUCUGUGGCCACUCGAGUGCCCAAGGAGCCCCCUGAGAUUCGAAUCCUCAACCCAUAUUUCAUCCAGGAGGCCGCCUU